Molecule: transfer RNA, 77 nt
Filed under: Archaeoglobus profundus DSM 5631
Lineage: Archaea; Methanobacteriati; Methanobacteriota; Archaeoglobi; Archaeoglobales; Archaeoglobaceae
Description: tRNA-Glu (CTC) (tRNA-Glu-CTC-2-1)
Source: RNAcentral
ACGGUAGGAAUCAUAGUCCAAUUCAACAAAACUCGACUCUCGAUCCCGUGACCCGGGUUCAAAUCCCGGCCGGAGCA